Molecule: ribosomal RNA, 253 nt
Filed under: uncultured bacterium
Lineage: Bacteria
Description: partial 16S ribosomal RNA
Rfam family: Bacterial small subunit ribosomal RNA
Source: RNAcentral
UACGUAGGGCGCAAGCGUUGUCCGGAAUUAUUGGGCGUAAAGAGCUCGUAGGCGGCUUGUCACGUCGAUUGUGAAAGCCCGAGGCUUAACCUCGGGUCUGCAGUCGAUACGGGCUAGCUAGAGUGUGGUAGGGGAGAUCGGAAUUCCUGGUGUAGCGGUGAAAUGCGCAGAUAUCAGGAGGAACACCGGUGGCGAAGGCGGGUCGCUGGGCCGAUACUGACGCUGAGGAGCGAAAGCGUGGGGAGCGAACAGG